Molecule: ribosomal RNA, 572 nt
Filed under: Trichopsomyia granditibialis
Lineage: Eukaryota; Metazoa; Arthropoda; Insecta; Diptera; Syrphidae
Description: eukaryotic LSU rRNA
Rfam family: Eukaryotic large subunit ribosomal RNA (bases 362-572)
Source: RNAcentral
CCCGAUGAACCUGAAUAUCCAUUAUGGAAAAUUCAUCAUUAAAAAUAUUAUAUAAAAUAUAUAAUAAAUACUAUGUGCAAUUUUUCCAUAUAAGGACAUUGUAAUCUGUUAAUGUAAUAAAUAUUUAUCAAAAAGUCUUUAACAUAAGUUUAUUCAAAUUAGUUAUUUUCGAAUUUCUAACAUAGAAUAAUUGUUUUAGAUUUGAUAAAUCAUUGACAGAUUUUAUUAUAUAUAAUGCUUAAAUUUAAUUUAGAAUUUUUAAAUUAUAAUAGAAAUUUAUUUUUAUUAUAUAUUAUAUGCAUUUAUAUGAUUAACAAUGCGAUAGAUUCAGGAUACCUUCGGGACCCGUCUUGAAACACGGACCAAGGAGUCUAACAUAUGUGCAAGUCAUUGGGUAUUUAUAAUAAAACCCAAAGGCAUAAUUAACUUAACUAUAUUUUAAUGGGAUUAGUUUGUAUUUUAUUAUGAAAUACAAAUUCAAUCCCGGGGCGUUCUAUAUAGUUAUGCAUAAUGGUAUUUAUAUUAUUUAUGCCUCUAACUAGAGCGUACCUUGAGCAUAUAUGCUGUGACCC